GAUGAACGCUGGCGGCGUGCCUAAUACAUGCAAGUCGAGCGAACAGACGAGGAGCUUGCUCCUCUGACGUUAGCGGCGGACGGGUGAGUAACACGUGGAUAACCUACCUAUAAGACUGGGAUAACUUCGGGAAACCGGAGCUAAUACCGGAUAAUAUAUUGAACCGCAUGGUUCAAUAGUGAAAGACGGUUUUGCUGUCACUUAUAGAUGGAUCCGCGCCGCAUUAGCUAGUUGGUAAGGUAACGGCUUACCAAGGCAACGAUGCGUAGCCGACCUGAGAGAGUGAUCGCCCACACUGGAGCGGAGACACGGACCAGACGCCUACGGGAGGCAGCAGUAGGGAAUGUUACGCAGUGGGCGAAAGCCUGACGGAGCAACGCCGCGUGAGUGAUGAAGGUCUUCGGAUCGUAAAACUCUGUUAUGAGGGAAGAACAAAUGUGUAAGUAACUAUGCACGUCUUGACGGUACCUAAUCAGAAAGCCACGGCUAACUACGUG
Molecule: ribosomal RNA, 497 nt
Filed under: uncultured bacterium
Lineage: Bacteria
Description: partial 16S ribosomal RNA
Rfam family: Bacterial small subunit ribosomal RNA
Source: RNAcentral